UUUAAGAAAUCUUAACUCUUAUAAUGAUAAAUAUAUUAAGAACUUUUAAUAAUAUUUAAAACAUACAUAUAGCCAAAAUUCUUAGGGAUAAGAUUUGACAAUAAGAUUACAUAGUUGUUCUGUGGAAUGUCUCCUUAUUAAGAAUUCACAACAAGCUGGACUUUUAUCUAACUGUUUAGAGCGACGCAUUUUCGACGUUCGCCGUAGAGCCACAAUAAAAAAAGCAUCGAAAGUGAAGUGGACCAGUCGUCCGUUGAAUCCCUACAACGUUUGUCGUUCGUGACACUUUCGGUGUCGCGACGUGACUCGCAACACACAUCUGGUAUGUGUUCUACCUGAAUGCGCGUAAUUGUUUCGCAGCAUCACGGUUAAAAAUAUAACUCAAAUCAACAUGUGGAUUUUGAUAGUAAUUUAUAUACAGAUGCAUACCAUGCCGGUUACGGUGAAGGUGAAGGACCUUUCGGCAUACGAUUUACGCUUUGGUAUUCAAACUUAUUUUAUCCUAUUGUCGUGCAAAAUGUGUAUAUAUUGACUGUAAAUCGAAUAUGAUUGUCAAUUUGACGAAGCUAAAUUUCUUAUCUUCCCGGAAAACAUGGAAUUUCUCUCAAAAAUACGAAAAAAGUUUGGUGUUAAUUAACUUAGAUAAAAAACUUUGUAUGCUAAAUAGUUUCUUUUGACCAGACUUUAACGAGACCACAAUGUACGAAGGAUAAUUAAAUCAUUCAGAUUGAUUGAAUAGAUUUACGGUGAUCAGAGUUAGAAUAUAAUCGGAUUAUCUUAUGCCUCCCACUAUAGUUAUAGGUGCGGCGAGGCCGAAUCGCUUAAUAAAGCGAUUCAGGGUCUUCUCGUGUCUUCGGGACAACUAUUGCAUUUGAAUUUUUCUCUAUCAUAAUGGAGAGAUAUUCGGUUAUGCGAAGAGUAUUAACACUCAUAAGGCUCAUAAGGGAAAGCUUGGCCUCAGAAAGGCGGAUAAUACUCGCAAGGCCAACCGACGACGUUGCGCGUGUCGGUCAGGAACGCUGUCAUGGACUUAGAUCUUUUUUGUAACAACGUGAAGACGCAGACUGUUAUUAACGUCACGCUGAUAAAACGGGUAAAACUCGAUGAUGUAGCUUACCGUACACGCAAAUGCAGAGCAAUGCGAGCGUGGUCGCAACGAUCCACGAAACUUUGGCCGACAUCUCAGAAAUAUGCUGUUACCAAUCCACAAGGAACAACGUCUGCCAGUGCACUGUGCUAGUCCCUGA
This is a long non-coding RNA of Harpegnathos saltator (Jerdon's jumping ant), 1247 nucleotides long. RefSeq lists it as uncharacterized. The transcript is spliced from 3 exons. Lineage: Eukaryota; Metazoa; Arthropoda; Insecta; Hymenoptera; Formicidae. The record is from RefSeq and is a predicted model, not a curated record.